Molecule: long non-coding RNA, 1907 nt
Organism: Cervus elaphus (red deer)
Lineage: Eukaryota; Metazoa; Chordata; Mammalia; Artiodactyla; Cervidae
Exons: 3
Source: RefSeq, a predicted model, not a curated record
GGGAACGGAUCGGAUUGUACGCACGCUUGCGCGUGCCGUCUGUAACCGAAAACAGGUCCAGCGUGUGGCUGAGCGUGUGUGUCUGUGCACCCUGAUCCGAGUGGCCUGGCGCUGGGGCGUGCCCGUGAGUCCCAGCCAGGUGGGUUUGCAGGUGGGGGAUCCGCGCUUACCCCAAUUUGUGGCCUUGAAGGGGGUGGAGGCGUGUGUUUGAGUGGCAUCCCUUUCCCCUGAGACGUCUCUUGAGUACCUCCUGUGGGGCCUGGGCUCCAGGCGUCUGGACCCGCCGGCCCUGCCCUAGCAGUGGGAGCCCAGACAGACCUUCUACUGGGCAGUCAGCAAAUGAACAGAGUCUGUGGCAGUGAGCACCCUGUGCAGAGAGUACGGGACCCUCAGGAGGAGGUGAAAUUUGAGUGGAGACCUGGAGGAAAGCCUGGUAGAGCAAGGGGAAAGUUUUCCGAGAAGAGGAAAUUGCAUGUGCAAAGAGGGUCCGAGCUUGGCUGGCUGAGUUAGCCGAGGAGAGGUCUUUUGGCCAGAAGGGGGCAGGCAUGGGUUCAUUCGAGCAAUUGGCAGAAGGGUGUCACUGGAAAGUGAGGAACUGCCUAUUCUUCAGGGAGGACUCAACCCAGAAACGAAGACAGACCCACCCCAAGGAACCUCGCCUACAACUUAAGACACUAGACACAGAAGAGCCUGCAGGCUUUUGAAGACAGAAAAAGGCAGAUACAGGCCAUUCCAAAGUCCAGGGAGUGACGGGGCACUGGAUUUCAGCAGCAGUAACAGCCAAAAAACAAUGAACAGAGCAGUCAGAAAGAAUUCUGGACCGAAAUAUUAAAUAAAAAGCAAAGGCAGGGACUCCCCUUCUCUGAUGGUCCAGUGGUUAAGACUCCGUGCUCCCAAUGCAGGGGGCCCAGAUUGCAAGGAAGACCCCACAUGUACAACUAAGACCUGGCACAGCCAAACACAUUAAAAAAAGAAAGAAAGAAAGAAAAAGCAAAGACAGAAUACAAGCUCUUCAGACUUAAAAAGGACCCAGAAAAUGACAAGAAUCCAGUCAACCUUUCUUAGACAUACCCAUCACUUUUCUGAAGCAAAAUAACAGAGUAAACCAAGAGCAUCAGUCUUGGGAUCCAGACAAGAGCAGAGGCACCCAGGAGCCUCUGGAGCCAUAGGAGCCUGGGUAGCACUGGAUGAACACCCAGGCCCCCUUGGAACAGGGAGGAUGGGAUUGCCAUUGGACUCUACAUGGUUCUGAAAACUCAAAAUAGUUAAGGUGGGCCACAGACCACCUGUGACUCCUGGCUGCCAGGAGCUUCUCUGAAUACACCUAAGAGAACAGGAUCUUCAUCCACCCGGGCAGUCCGAGAUGGUUGUAGCUCAGGUGUCCUUUGGAAAGCCUUCUCUUUGUUCCCUUCCCCUUUGAAGGCUGAUUCAAGCACCAUCCACCAGGACUUCCCCAUCACUACAGGUGAGCAGCUCAUUUCCAUUAGUGCUCUUCUCUUGCUUGGGGUCUGACACACAACGUGGGGUCAGUAAAUUAGCUCCCAGGCUAAUUUAGCUUGGGAGUAAAUUAGCUUCCAGGCUAGCUGGAACUGAGUUACUUGAGGGACAGCUUGCUGGGCACAGCUUCCCUGCCCCAGGAACCAUACUCCGUGGGUGGGGGGAACUCCCAGUGGGGCAGGGCUGGCCUCCAGGAGGAAGUAAGGACCAGUGAGCAAGUGCUGGGCUUAGGCAUGGAAGCAAAGGUAGGGACUGCUCCUGUAGCGCCCCCCCUCCCCCUGCCCCUUCCCCAGGGCCCUGGGUUGUGGGGCCUCAGGGGCUUUGAGUGGUCAGGCCUGUCUUCCCAGAGGAGUAAAGGGGAAGAGAAAUCCCCCGUGGGGGUUCUGAGUCAGCUGCACCGUCAUAGUGGA